RNAcentral lists this long non-coding RNA (451 nucleotides) under Hordeum vulgare. RNAcentral describes it as "long non-coding RNA (HVUL_LNC015292)". Lineage: Eukaryota; Viridiplantae; Streptophyta; Magnoliopsida; Poales; Poaceae. The record is from RNAcentral.
GAUCACUCCUCGAUACUAAGAGAGCAAAGAGAUGAUUUUAAGGAUACAUUUUCAAAUGAGAACGUUGAAAAAAAUUAAAUAUAAGGAGCUUGCAACCAUGAUGGAGUGGUACAUCGGCAUUGAUAAGGUUAGUGCAUUGUUUCUGACAGAAAGUAACGGAUAUGCUACUAGGAAUAUUCAUGGAACUCAGUGUGUGCUAUGAUCUGUCUCAUUGUGUUGUUGUUCCAAUUUCAGUCUCUUCACGAUAUGUAGUGUGUGUGUGUGUGUGUUCUGCGUGGUUGCUUUUCUGCAGCAUCUGUAGGGGUUGCCUGUUGUCCCUGGGGAUCUGGCCUUGGCAAGGUGCAACAUAUCAAAGGGCCCUUGCCAUGACAACCUUGUGUGGUUGUUUUUUCUCUUCAGAUCCCCGAUUUUUGCACGCGUGUGGUCGAGUGUUGUAACCUUUGGAAUCAUC